This 323-nucleotide unclassified non-coding RNA is filed under the name Hevea brasiliensis (rubber tree). Lineage: Eukaryota; Viridiplantae; Streptophyta; Magnoliopsida; Malpighiales; Euphorbiaceae. The record is from RNAcentral.
UAAAUACACUGCACGCCUUUGCUUUGGCCCUCUUUCCUCUAGGGUUUUCUGCAUUGCCAAAUUCAAGAGCAUAAGGUUUUAGAGGCGGCAAUUCUCCUGCAAAGAUGGCGCGGCCGAUUUUUGUUGGAAACUUUGAGUACGAUAUUCGCCAAUCUGAGUUGGAACGCCUGUUCGGAAAGUACGGAAGGGUGGAGCGUGUGGACAUGAAAUCUGGUUUUGCCUUCGUUUAUUUUGAGGAUGAACGCGAUGCAGCUGAUGCUAUACGUGGACUUGACAAUACACCAUUUGGUUAUGACAGACGUAGGCUAUCAGUGGAGUGGGCU